UGCAGUCGUACGCUUCUUUUUCCACCGGAGCUUGCUCCACCGGAAAAAGAAGAGUGGCGAACGGGUGAGUAACACGUGGGUAACCUGCCCAUCAGAAGGGGAUAACACUUGGAAACAGGUGCUAAUACCGUAUAACAAUCGAAACCGCAUGGUUUUGAUUUGAAAGGCGCUUUCGGGUGUCGCUGAUGGAUGGACCCGCGGUGCAUUAGCUAGUUGGUGAGGUAACGGCUCACCAAGGCCACGAUGCAUAGCCGACCUGAGAGGGUGAUCGGCCACAUUGGGACUGAGACACGGCCCAAACUCCUACGGGAGGCAGCAGUAGGGAAUCUUCGGCAAUGGACGAAAGUCUGACCGAGCAACGCCGCGUGAGUGAAGAAGGUUUUCGGAUCGUAAAACUCUGUUGUUAGAGAAGAACAAGGAUGAGAGUAACUGUUCAUCCCUUGACGGUAUCUAACCAGAAAGCCACGGCUAACUACGUGCCAGCAGCCGCGGUAAUACGUAGGUGGCAAGCGUUGUCCGGAUUUAUUGGGCGUAAAGCGAGCGCAGGCGGUUUCUUAAGUCUGAUGUGAAAGCCCCCGGCUCAACCGGGGAGGGUCAUUGGAAACUGGGAGACUUGAGUGCAGAAGAGGAGAGUGGAAUUCCAUGUGUAGCGGUGAAAUGCGUAGAUAUAUGGAGGAACACCAGUGGCGAAGGCGGCUCUCUGGUCUGUAACUGACGCUGAGGCUCGAAAGCGUGGGGAGCAAACAGGAUUAGAUACCCUGGUAGUCCACGCCGUAAACGAUGAGUGCUAAGUGUUGGAGGGUUUCCGCCCUUCAGUGCUGCAGCUAACGCAUUAAGCACUCCGCCUGGGGGAGUACGACCGCAAGGUUGAAACUCAAAGGAAUUGACGGGGGCCCGCACAAGCGGUGGAGCAUGUGGGUUUAAUU
Molecule: ribosomal RNA, 926 nt
Filed under: Enterococcus sp. MNC4
Lineage: Bacteria; Bacillati; Bacillota; Bacilli; Lactobacillales; Enterococcaceae
Description: bacterial SSU rRNA
Rfam family: Bacterial small subunit ribosomal RNA
Source: RNAcentral